UUGCAUGNGNUUAAUUCGAUGCAACGNGAAGAACCUUACCUACUCNUGACAUCCUCAGAAGCUUGUAGAGAUACGAGUGUGCCUUCGGGAACUGAGAGACAGGUGCUGCAUGGCUGUCGUCAGCUCGUGUUGUGAAAUGUUGGGUUAAGUCCCGCAACGAGCGCAACCCUUAUCCUUGUUCGCCAGCACUUCGGGUGGGAACUCCAGGGAGACUGCCGGUGAUAAACCGGAGGAAGGUGGGGACGACGUCAAGUCAUCAUGGCCCUUACGAGUAGGGCUACACACGUGCUACAAUGGCGCAUACAGAGGGCGGCCAACUUGCGAAAGUGAGCGAAUCCCAAAAAGUGCGUCGUAGUCCGGAUUGGAGUCUGCAACUCGACUCCAUGAAGUCGGAAUCGCUAGUAAUCGUGGAUCAGAAUGCCACGGUGAAUACGUUCCCGGGCCUUGUACACACCGCCCGUCACACCAUGGGAGUGGGCUGCAAAAGAAGUGGGUAGUUUAACCUUCGGGGGGACGCUCACCACUUUGUGGUUCAUGACUGGGGUGAAGUCGUAACAAGGUAGCGCUAGGGGAACCUGGCGCUGGAUCACCUCCUUAUACGAUGAUUAUUGCGAUGAGUGUUCACACAGAUUGAUGGUUUUGAAGCGUAAGCUUCGAGCUAUUAUUGCUCUUUAACAAUUUGGAAAGCUGACAAAUCAACAAAUUAUUGUUGAUUGUAAAGUUCUCAAUGUUUGUCUUUAAGACAAACACCAAACAACACAUUCAAGUGUUCUUGGGAAUGUCACUUUAAGUGACUAUUCAAAAUUGAGUCCGGCAAAAUCGAGUCUGCACUCAUGAUUUGUCUUCACUUUUUAAAAGUGAAAAUAAAUAGAAAAAAUUGCAGACAACUUUGGUCAAUAACAAAGACCCUUUGGGGUUGUAUGGUUAAGUGACUAAGCGUACACGGUGGAUACCUUGGC
RNAcentral lists this small RNA (959 nucleotides) under uncultured bacterium. RNAcentral describes it as "bacterial SSU rRNA". The stretch from base 1 to 597 matches the Rfam family "Bacterial small subunit ribosomal RNA", at positions 935 to 1533 of the family's 1533-position model. The record is from RNAcentral.